GCAAACUUGGUCAUUUAGAGGAAGUAAAAGUCGUAACAAGGUUUCCGUAGGUGAACCUGCGGAAGGAUCAUUAACGAGUUUCGUUCGGGGGCGCCGAUCCCCGAACGUGUACCCUCUUUUCCCACACCUCUGUGCACUCUUAUGAGAUUGUGGGUUCCGCCCCGGGCCCGCGAUCUGACAUUCUAAAACCCUGCGAAAAAAAAACGGAAAGAACGUGAAGAUCAUAAAUGAAAAGCAUAACUUUCAACGACGGAUCUCUUGGUUCUCGCAUCGAUGAAGAACGCAGC
Molecule: unclassified non-coding RNA, 287 nt
Filed under: uncultured fungus
Lineage: Eukaryota; Fungi
Description: partial contains small subunit ribosomal RNA, internal transcribed spacer 1, and 5.8S ribosomal RNA
Rfam family: Eukaryotic small subunit ribosomal RNA (bases 1-73)
Source: RNAcentral